GACGAACGCUGGCGGCGUGCUUAACACAUGCAAGUCGAACGGAAAGGCCCUGCUUUUGUGGGGUGCUCGAGUGGCGAACGGGUGAGUAACACGUGAGUAACCUGCCCUUGACUUUGGGAUAACUUCAGGAAACUGGGGCUAAUACCGGAUAGGAGCUCCUGCUGCAUGGUGGGGGUUGGAAAGUUUCGGCGGUUGGGGAUGGACUCGCGGCUUAUCAGCUUGUUGGUGGGGUAGUGGCUUACCAAGGCUUUGACGGGUAGCCGGCCUGAGAGGGUGACCGGCCACAUUGGGACUGAGGUACGGCCCAGACUCCUAAGGGAGGCAGCAGUGGGGAAUAUUGCACAAUGGGCGGAAGGCUGAUGCAGGAACGCCGCGUGCGGGAUGAAGGCCUUUGGGGUGGAAACCGCUUUCGCCUGUGAAGAAGCGGGAGUGACGGUAAUGGGUAAAGAAGCACCGGCUAACUACGUG
Molecule: ribosomal RNA, 468 nt
Filed under: uncultured bacterium
Lineage: Bacteria
Description: partial 16S ribosomal RNA
Rfam family: Bacterial small subunit ribosomal RNA
Source: RNAcentral